GGUGGGAGGAGGAAAGAUAGAAGAUAGGAGGCAGAACACGGGCUGACUUUGAAGCUCUUGACUCCACGGGGCAUUGUAUUCCAGGCGAAGCCUUGCAGCGUGCUGAUUUCAUUUGCUAUGUAACUUCCCAGGGUAAAUUUCUUCAAAGGGAAAACAUUUUAGGAAAAGACUCAUUAGCCUUAGAUACAUGCAAGAGAUACAUGACUACUGUGAGAGGGAGUUUCUGGAAGGUUUCCUGAAAGCCACUGAGAAGAUCACAAGUCGAGACACUGGAGAUCUAGAAAGAAAAGGCACGGUCCUUGAGAGCUGGAAGGAGCGACAGGCAAACAGCACAACUCACACUAGCCGGGAACAUUGUUUCAGAAAAGCGUGCAGCGCUGAGAGAGCACUUAGAAUGAGGUCCUGACCGAGACAUGGAAGAAUGGGCGGUGGGGGCGGAGCCCUCCUGGUUACCCCCGGAGCGUGGCAUUUUGGGAGAGACGAAG
Molecule: long non-coding RNA, 485 nt
Filed under: Fukomys damarensis (Damara mole-rat)
Lineage: Eukaryota; Metazoa; Chordata; Mammalia; Rodentia; Bathyergidae
Description: lncRNA (ENSFDAG00000029227.1)
Source: RNAcentral